GUCCACGCCGUAACGAUGGGUACUAGGCGUCGGGAGGCGACCCUUCCGGUGCCGUCGCUAACGCAGUAAGUACCCGCCUGGGAGGUACGGCCGCAAGGCUGAAACUCAAAGGAAUUGACGGGGCCCGGCACAAGCGGUGGAGCAUGUGGUUUAAUUCGAAGCAACGCGAAGAACCUUACCUGGGCUUGACAUGCACGGGAAAUCCGGUGGAAACAUCGGCCCCUCUUCGGAGUCCGUGCACAGGUGCUGCAUGGCUGUCGU
RNAcentral lists this ribosomal RNA (261 nucleotides) under uncultured bacterium. Its description in RNAcentral is "partial 16S ribosomal RNA". It matches the Rfam family "Bacterial small subunit ribosomal RNA", at positions 793 to 1055 of the family's 1533-position model. The record is from RNAcentral.